RNAcentral lists this ribosomal RNA (640 nucleotides) under Fusarium oxysporum f. sp. ciceris. Its description in RNAcentral is "eukaryotic LSU rRNA". The stretch from base 122 to 275 matches the Rfam family "5.8S ribosomal RNA". Lineage: Eukaryota; Fungi; Ascomycota; Sordariomycetes; Hypocreales; Nectriaceae. The record is from RNAcentral.
GAACAUACCAAUUGUUGCCUCGGCGGAUCAGCCCGCUCCCGGUAAAACGGGACGGCCCGCCAGAGGACCCCUAAACUCUGUUUCUAUAUGUAACUUCUGAGUAAAACCAUAAAUAAAUCAAAACUUUCAACAACGGAUCUCUUGGUUCUGGCAUCGAUGAAGAACGCAGCAAAAUGCGAUAAGUAAUGUGAAUUGCAGAAUUCAGUGAAUCAUCGAAUCUUUGAACGCACAUUGCGCCCGCCAGUAUUCUGGCGGGCAUGCCUGUUCGAGCGUCAUUUCAACCCUCAAGCCCCCGGGCUUGGUGUUGGGGAUCGGCGAGCCCUCGCGGCAAGCCGGCCCCGAAAUACAGUGGCGGUCUCGCUGCAGCUUCCAUUGCGUAGUAGUAAAACCCUCGCAACUGGUACGCGGCGCGGCCAAGCCGUUAAACCCCCAACUUCUGAAUGUUGACCUCGGAUCAGGUAGGAAUACCCGCUGAACUUAAGCAUAUCAAAACCGGGAGGAAAUUUCAACUCCCAAACCCCUGUGAACAUACCAAUUGUUGCCUCGGCGGGAUCAGCCCGGCUCCCGGUAAAACGGGAACGGACCGGCCGAGGACCCCAAAACUCUGUUUCUAUAUGUAACUUUCUGAGUAAAACAUAAA